RNAcentral lists this ribosomal RNA (505 nucleotides) under uncultured bacterium. RNAcentral's name for it is "partial 16S ribosomal RNA". It matches the Rfam family "Bacterial small subunit ribosomal RNA", at positions 28 to 507 of the family's 1533-position model. The record is from RNAcentral.
GACGAACGCUGGCGGCGUGCCUAAUACAUGCAAGUAGAACGCACAGUUUAUACCGUAGCUUGCUACACCAUAAACUGUGAGUUGCGAACGGGUGAGUAACGCGUAGGUAACCUGCCUGGUAGCGGGGGAUAACUAUUGGAAACGAUAGCUAAUACCGCAUAAUAUUGAUUAUUGCAUGAUAAUUGAUUGAAAGAUGCUAUUGCAUCACUACCAGAUGAACCUGCGUUGUAUUAGCUAGUAGGUGAGGUAACGGCUCACCUAGGCGACGAUACAUAGCCGACCUGAGAGGGUGAUCGGCCACACUGGGACUGAGACACGGCCCAGACUCCUACGGGAGGCAGCAGUAGGGAAUCUUCGGCAAUGGACGAAAGUCUGACCGAGCAACGCCGCGUGAGUGAAGAAGGUUUUCGGAUCGUAAAGCUCUGUUGUAAGAGAAGAACGGGUGUGAGAGUGGAAAGUUCACACUGUGACGGUAUCUUACCAGAAAGGGACGGCUAACUACGUG